GUCUGGUUAAUUCCGAUAACGAACGAGACUCUUACUUGCUAAAUAGUCGCCGGGCCGUUCCUCGGCCCGGUACCGACUUCUUAGAGGGACUAGUGGCGUUUAGCCACACGAGAUUGAGCAAUAACAGGUCUGUGAUGCCCUUAGAUGUUCGGGGCCGCACGCGCGCUACACUGACCGGAUCAUCGUGUGCUGUCCUUGGCCGAAAGGUCUGGGUAAUCCGUUGAACCCCGGUCGUGCUAGGGAUAGGGACUUGCAAUUGUUUCCCUUGAACGAGGAAUUCCCAGUAAGCGCGAGUCAUUAGCUCGCGUUGAUUACGUCCCUGCCCUUUGUA
This 331-nucleotide ribosomal RNA is filed under the name Thetys vagina. RNAcentral's name for it is "SSU rRNA". It matches the Rfam family "Eukaryotic small subunit ribosomal RNA", at positions 1313 to 1664 of the family's 1831-position model. The record is from RNAcentral. Lineage: Eukaryota; Metazoa; Chordata; Thaliacea; Salpida; Salpidae.